CGCCUUGCCAGCCCGCUCAGAAACUCAAAGGAAUUGACGGGGCCCGCCACAAGCGGAGGAACGAUUGUGGUUUAAUUCGAUGAUACGCGAGGAACCUUACCUGGGCUUAAAUGGGGAGUGACAGCUGUCGAAAGAUGGUUUUCUUCGGACACUCUUCAAGGUGCUGCAUGGUUGUCGUCAGCUCGUGCCGUGAGGUGUCGGGUUAAGUCCCAUAACGAGCGCAACCCUUACCGUUAGUUACCAUCAGGUUAAGCUGGGGACUCUAGCGGGACUGCCACCGUAAGGUGAGAGGAAGGUGGGGAUGACGUCAAAUCAGCACGGCCCUUAUGUCCAGGGCUACACACGUGUUACAAUGGCCGGUACAAAGGGCAGCUACUUCGCGAGAAGAUGCUAAUCUCGAAAGCCGGUCUCAGUUCGGAUCGAAGUCUGCAACCCGACUUCGUGAAGCUGGAUUCGCUAGUAAUCGCGCAUCAGCCAUGGCGCGGUGAAUACGUUCCCGGGCCUU
This 505-nucleotide ribosomal RNA is filed under the name uncultured Sphingobacteriales bacterium. RNAcentral's name for it is "bacterial SSU rRNA". It matches the Rfam family "Bacterial small subunit ribosomal RNA", at positions 903 to 1382 of the family's 1533-position model. The record is from RNAcentral. Lineage: Bacteria; Pseudomonadati; Bacteroidota; Sphingobacteriia; Sphingobacteriales.